Long non-coding RNA from Homo sapiens (human), 352 nucleotides. NCBI's taxonomy places the organism in Eukaryota, Metazoa, Chordata, Mammalia, Primates, Hominidae. The record is from Ensembl.
GAGACAUAGGCACGAUGAUUACUACAACCACCCUUCCCUGGAAAGUUGCUUUUCCUUUGAUAAUGCUUGGAAGACCCAAUUCACACAAGUUGAAAAGUCUCAGGAAGAUUCCGUUGGAUAAUCUGAGGACAUGGUCUUGAAGAGAAUAUUCAGAGUUGGGAGGAUAAACAUAUCAUUUGAAAAUCAGAAAAUCUAAACCAGUUAAUUGUGUGGUUAGUCCUCACCAGAGACAAUUAUCAAGAGGAGGGCCGGGGAGACUGUUUCAAGAUGGCUGCUUGGUGCUACUCGUCAACUUGGGACCCUAUGUGUACACCAGCAUUUUCCUGAGUUCUCUAAUUGUUUGUAGUUUGUC